RNA transcript from Melanotaenia boesemani (Boeseman's rainbowfish), 1151 nucleotides. It is a transcript of the gene named 300 kDa antigen AG231-like, with no coding region annotated. Lineage: Eukaryota; Metazoa; Chordata; Actinopteri; Atheriniformes; Melanotaeniidae. The record is from RefSeq and is a predicted model, not a curated record. The transcript has 5 exons.
CUCACCUGUGUGGUCCUGCUUUAUCCGAGUACUCACCUGUGUUGUCCUGCUCCAUUCUAGCACUCACCUGUGUGGUCCUGCUUCAUCCGAGUACUCACCUGUGUUGUCCUGCUCCUUCCUAGUACUCAUCUGUGUGGUCCUGCUUCAUCCGAGUACUCACCUGUGUUGUCCUGCUCCUUCCUAGUACUCAUCUGUGUGGUCCUGUAAAGCUCUAGUCUAGUACUUACCUGUGUGGUUCUGCUCCAUCCUAGUACUCACCUGUGUGGUCCUGCUCCUUCCUAGUAGUCACCUGUGUGGUCCUGUAAAGCUCUAGUACUUACCUGUGUUGUCAUCCUCCUGCAAAAAAUAACACUUUUUGUUCUUGUACAUCUGAGUCAUGUUUCAUACACUACAUAUUUAGGCUUGAGGCGUGUGAGCACCCCUAAAUCAGGUGGAAUGAAGCUUGAGACUUGGCUUUGGUUUUCACUUGCCAUUAAUAAUUUAGUAUUAAUAUAUAUUUAUUCUUUCUCUUGUUUUUAGGAAAACCUGCACAUGAGUCCCCCUGCACAAGAGUGAAGUCAAAAAUUGAUCUAAACUGGAGUUUAUCUGAUUUGAAUAAUUUCAUAUGUCAAAGUUAUCCAAAAUUUAACUUAAAUUUAGUGGGGUUUCAAUUGGCACGGACUGGGAAGGGAAGGAAGAUACAAAUACUAAAAGUGGCCUCAGUACAAGAACUAAAGAAAUCAGUGGGGAAAAGCCGACUUUACAUCAUCCCACAGGGCCCCAUUUUGCAGAUUACUCAGACUACUCCAUCCGAUGAACCAGUCUGUGUUGAUGAACCAGUCUCUGCUGAUGAACCAGUCUGUGUUGAUGAACCAAUCUCUAUUGAUGAACCAAUCUCUGUUGACGAGACAGUGAGUCCCCCAAGGGAAGUUCGGGAUCAGGCUUUGCAAGAAUGGAGAAGGUUAAGAGAAGAACAGGACAGAGACUACAAUCAAUCUUUAAUUGCUGAUCAAGAAAGCAGAAGGAGGAGGUUGGCUUUUGAGGAAGAUGAGAAAAACCGUCUUAAGGCAAUUGAGGCGAGGCGCCAGCGUAUGGCCUUGUUGUUGGAGCCAACAGGUGGUGUCCCAUUAAAAUUUAAAUAUCCUGAUGGGCACAUAAAACAACGAAGGUUC